CGGCCUCUAUGGCUGUGGGUGCAUCUCCGCGAGCUACCGAAUAGCCGCAGCUUUGCGCGUCCCUGCUCCCUUCAAUUACCGUUCCCCUGUGGGAGGGGGCUGGGAAGCCCAAGACGAUGUGCCUAGUUCCUGAUCGUCCCCUUGGCCGCCCCCUCCCUUCCUCCAAGCGUUCAUUGCAAACCCUCUGCUCCCGGGACGGAGCGGGAAGGGGGGGAGGGGAGCGCGCAGCGGCCGCCCCGCGUCUCUCGGAGAGAAAAAAAGGCUGCAAAUUCCAGCGGUGCGGCUCGCUCUGUGCCUCCCACCCGCACCGGGCGGGGCGCGUGCAUCCUUUACCCGGCGCCUGCAUUCUCUCGCCCGCCCAGGAGAGGAGAAGCCGCCACCUGUCAGCCCCAUUCAAGCCCGAGUGCUAACCUGCCUAGGGAAAGGGGGGAAGGGUGUGAAGGAAACUCGAACUCCGACAGAGAUUCAUUCUCCAGAAGGAGCUCGAGAGGCACUGGAGCUCUUGCCCUACGCGUCUUUUACGGAGGAGCUGCAGCCGGCGAGAACGCGGAGGAGGAAGAGGCUGCUCGGAGCAAUUGUGCACCCCCCCAAUCCCUUUCGCUGAUUCUUCUCUGCCGCUCCACUCCCGGGGGAGUACCUCUCCCCCGGCACCUCCUCUCCUCUUUGCAAUGUGUGCACCAACCGCUGCCUUCUCGGCCCCGGGCAGGGGAAGUGCAGGAUGCUCCAGCCACUAACGCGGCUCCCUCGACUCCCAGCCUGCAUCCAGCCGGGCUUGGCACCGUGGUCCUCUCUCGGAAACUGACUCAAAGCAGAUCAGGAGUGACUGACAGCCCCACAGUUGGCUGCGCCCGGAGGGGGAGUCUGCAAAGAGGGAUUGUGCCGGUGUCUGAGGGAGAGGAAAGUGGGGGGAGGGAAGGUAAGGCAAGACAGGGUCGGAGGUGGACUGGGGUCCUUAUUGGAGGGAAAGAAACACCUGAGACGCCUCUGGAAAAGUUCAAGAUUUGUGUAUUUUCCCGAGAAAGCAUUUUUUCUUUGCAAGAAAAAAAAAAGCGCGGCCCACUUAUCUCUCUCCUAAGGGGACGUGAUAGCGACGAGGAAGUAGGGAUGGGCAACUGGAAGCACUCCCUAGUUUGGUGACAGCCCCCCUCCCAUUCUGCAACGCCUAAAACCAGGGACGUUAGAGCUUGUGCCUUGGAAAAUAAGGGCUCGGACCCAAGCAGAGGGGCUCGUCUCUUCUUCGACUUUAUUCUUGGGCACCAUCUCCAUGGCAGAUUCCGUCCGGACCGCGCCGGACUUGAUUCAGCAGCGCCGCUGCCGGGGGAGGUGCGGCUAAAACCGGACUGCAAGGAGCCAGCCGGAGCCCUGGCGGAUGCUCUGGGGAGAGCUGGAGCUGGGAGGAGGCGGCGGCGAAGGAGGAGGAGGUGGAGGAGGAGGAGGAGGAGAGAGAGAGAGAGCGCGCGCGAGGAAAACAAGGAGAAGAAACUCUGCCCCCUUGCCUAAGUGCAUUCAGCCCGGGCGCUCCAGAGAGUGUGGGGGUGGGGUGGGAGUCGCCUCAGCGUCGCCUGCGUGAGAUUUUGCACCGAAACUUUUCAUUCUCCGGAUGGAUUAAAGUUGUCUGGAUUUCUUUUUAACAUCAUUAUCAAUUUUUAUUCGUGUGCACCCGACGUAGAAUUUUCUACUGGGGCCGCAGGUUGACGAAAUCCAGACGAAACAACCCUGCUCGCCAGGAAUCCUACCGAAAUCUUCGAAAUCGUUCCUUGCAUUGGAAAUGGGCGUCCUUUACUGAUUUAGGAUUUAAUCUGGGCCUGGAGAGGAGCUGGGAGAGGGGGCGGGGAGGGUGGACCUAGCCCUCGGAUCUCUGGAGCCCGAGGCCGCAGGUCCCUCUCCAAGACUGCACGGGCUGCUUGGCUCUCCACGGCUUCCGACAACCUGCGGGGGCUCCCUCGAAGGGGGAGGUGGGUGCAAGUGCUCUCCCGCCUAAUCCUGGAUCCACCUCCCCAGGGCCCCAAGUGGGGAGAGGGAUCCCAGCCCCCAGGGAGCCCCGAUGCUGUCUGUAGCUGGAGCCCGGUUGGCCCUCUAAGGAGGUGGGGACUGCGAGAAGCUUGAGAUCCGGACCCCGUUCCCCCGCCCCACAGAC
Molecule: long non-coding RNA, 2137 nt
Filed under: Phascolarctos cinereus (koala)
Lineage: Eukaryota; Metazoa; Chordata; Mammalia; Diprotodontia; Phascolarctidae
Description: lncRNA (ENSPCIG00000001525.2)
Source: RNAcentral